AACGAACGCUGGCGGCGUGCUUAACACAUGCAAGUCUAGGGGAAAGUACCUUCGGGUACGAUUACACUGGCGCACGGGUGAGUAACGCGUGAGGAAUCUGCCCAUUAGAGAGGGACAACAUUCCGAAAGGGAUGCUAAUACCUCAUACGACCACAGAUCGCAUGUUCUGUGGUGAAAGACGGUUUCGGCUGUCGCUGAUGGAUGAUCUCGCGUAACAUUAGAUAGUUGGUGGGGUAACGGCCUACCAAGUCUGCGAUGUUUAACCGGCCUGAGAGGGUGGCCGGUCACAUAGGGACUGAGACACGGCCCUAACUCCUACGGGAGGCAGCAGUGGGGAAUUUUUGCGCAAUGACCGAAAGGUUGACGCAGCGACGCCGCGUGUAUGACGAAGGUUUUCGGAUCGUAAAGUACUUUCAGCAGGGAAGAAUAGGUGUAAUAGUAACUGAUUACAUUAUGACGGUACCUGCAGAAGCAGCCCCGGCUAAC
Molecule: ribosomal RNA, 486 nt
Filed under: uncultured bacterium
Lineage: Bacteria
Description: bacterial SSU rRNA
Rfam family: Bacterial small subunit ribosomal RNA
Source: RNAcentral